RNAcentral lists this ribosomal RNA (257 nucleotides) under uncultured bacterium. Its description in RNAcentral is "partial 16S ribosomal RNA". It matches the Rfam family "Bacterial small subunit ribosomal RNA", at positions 524 to 776 of the family's 1533-position model. The record is from RNAcentral.
UACGGGGGGAGCAAGCGUUGUUCGGAUUUACUGGGCGUAAAGGGCGCGUAGGCGGUCGUGACAAGUCACUUGUGAAAUCUCCGGGCUUAACUCGGAACGGUCAAGUGAUACUGUCGGACUAGAGUACAGAAGGGGGCAACUGGAAUUCUCGGUGUAGCGGUGAAAUGCGUAGAUAUCGAGAGGAACACCUGGCGGCGAAGGCGGGUUGCCUGGGCUGAUGACUGACGCUGAGGCGCGAAAGCCAGGGAGCGAACGGG